RNAcentral lists this unclassified non-coding RNA (104 nucleotides) under uncultured Glomeromycetes. RNAcentral describes it as "sequence contains ITS1". Lineage: Eukaryota; Fungi; Glomeromycota; Glomeromycetes. The record is from RNAcentral.
CCAAUCUUUUAGCGAGCCUUGGCUUUGUCCAUGGUCUUGCAAACUUUGUAUUUAAAACCCGCUCAUAAAUUAAAACAAUACAGUUUUGUUAUUAUAAAUAAAGA